Molecule: long non-coding RNA, 2251 nt
Organism: Drosophila novamexicana
Lineage: Eukaryota; Metazoa; Arthropoda; Insecta; Diptera; Drosophilidae
Exons: 3
Source: RefSeq, a predicted model, not a curated record
CUCUUUAAAUAUUUCACCAGCAAAUGUGGAAAAUUUUUGUAAAACGAAGAGAACAACUUACUCAUGAGACUUACAAUUUUGCGGAAGCGUGCAUCUUUACGAAAUCUUGCUGCCAAUUCCCAAGCUAUAGUCAUUUGGACUUUGGCACUGCCUAAUGGAAACUUUUUCAUUUAAAAUGAAAGAGCAAACAGUCACAAAGAUUGCACUGGCUGCUAGCGUGGAAGAUUUGACUUAAAUACCAGGCCAGCAGCAUGUGCAAAUAACAAAAUUCAUUGCAUACCCGCAAGGGGCGCCAGUAUUUGGCUGAAGUGCCGGGCGAACAGCAAUGCCCAGCAAGUGAACAAGCUUUAACUCAUUUUAUAAACAAAAGGCGAUUUGAAGACAACUUUGCCCUAUUUGGCUGUGAUCCCACUAGUUGCCGUCUGUUUGCUUUCCCGCGUCCUCUUGCCGCUAACAAAGGCCAACUCCCGGCGUAAAUGAGGCCACGGGCUCUGAGCUACUGCAGCCUGCCUGCUAUUUUACCAGGCGAUUUGAGGAUAACAAAAUUGCCAACUUGUUGGGAUGCUUUUGGAGCUACAACUGCGGACAAUGGCCAGCUCCCGGCGUAGAAGAGGACACGGGCUUCGAACUACUUCGAUUAUAAGUUUUUCCAGGCUCUCCAAUAUGGGACAUAUAAUUAGUAUAAUCCUUAGAUUCUUGAAUGUAGAUCGAUGCAGUUGGUCCUUACGAUCCGAAUGCACCAAGCCAUUUGAAAAUCCACAAGGAUUUGGCCGAGCUAUGGCAGUUUCCCCUAAAAGGACAUUAAUCUCUAAAUUGGCCAUAACUUGACCGUUUUAAGGACUUUCGCGAUGUCCUUUGGUCAACCAAUAGUCCACAUCCUCCCAAUUUAGAAUAUGCUUAGAAAUGGACAAAAGUCCUUUAAACAGUCCAGAAAAGAGCACCUUUGUCUGUAGAGCAAAUAUGCCAUAGCUUGCGCGUAUCCUUGCAGAUCUUUACAAGUCCUUUUUUAAAUAUCCUGUAUAGAUCAGGGCUAUUAACCAUCCAAAUGGCAUUGAAAUCGUCCUCGUAGUUUCCGAAAUUCAGCUAUUUGUUUAAAAAGGACAUUAAUUCAAAAAUCGGUCAUAACUUGACCAUUUUAAGGACUAUCGAGAUGUCCUUUAGUCCACCGAUAGUCCUUAUCCUCCCGCUUUAGAGUCAACAAAUAGAUAAAAGAAAGUCCUUCAAAUAGCCAAGAAAAAAGGACAUUUGCCUUGCAUUUGAAUAUAUGCUAUAAAUAGGCCGUGUCCUUGCGAAUCCUUACAAGUGUUAUGUCAAACAAACCGUAGGAACUAGGACUAUCAACUGGCCAAAGGUCAUCAAAAUCGUCCUUGUGGUUUCAGAGAUAUGGCUAGUUUUCUCCCAAGGACAUUUUGUUUUUAGCCAUAGCUCGGCCAAAUCCUUAAGGAUAUCGGAAGGAUAUACCUUUUUGAGAUCGUAAGGAGCAGGACUAUGGAUUGGCAUUCAAAGAUUUCCAUAUUUCGACAAAAAUUUUCACCAAAAUUUUUCCUAGGGGUUUGGUCACAAAAUUGACCAAAACCGAAAAAAUCCGGGCUAACUUCGCCAUUUGAAGGACUAUCGGGAUGUCCUUUGGCCAGCAGAUAGUCCCCACCCUCCCAUUUAAGAAAUUACCACCCGAAGGACGAAAGUCCUUCAGACAAAAAAGUUUUAAGGACAAUUUUGGGUAAAGAAAAUAGGCUCUAACUCGGCCAUAUCCUGGAGUAUCCUGGCGAAUCAUGUGUCAAAAAAAUUGUAUUGACUAGGACUACCAACUGGCCAAAUUGCAUCAAGAUCGUCCUUGUAGUUUCCAAGAUAUUAAGGAUUUUGUGAUUUUCACCCAUUUUCGGCUUAUUUCCGGGCGCCCCGAGACUGAAAAUUUUCUAAGUACAUGAUUCUUAGAUGACCCCAUAAUGUUUUGAUGCAGAUCGAUGCGGUUGCUCCUGAAGAUCCUAACGCACCAUGUCCUUUGAAAAUCUGCAAGGAUAUGGCCGUGUUAUGGCUGUUUUUCUAACCCAAAAUACUCUAAUAUAAUUUUUAAUUUUUUUCAUUAAAAUGUGAUUUUAUCUUUACAGAUUGAUGAUUUCAAGGAACAGCAAUCGAUUCCAAGGACAUUCACGAAUCCUACAAGGAUAUACAUUCCAGGAUCUGACUUUUUACACGCUAGAUAUAGCCAAUUUAUGUAAAAAUAAGCUACAAAUGUUAUUUAUGCUCAAAA